AGACGGAGGGUGCAAGCGUUGUUCGGAAUCACUGGGCGUAAAGCGCGUGUAGGCGGCCUGACGAGUCGAAUGUGAAAGCCCGGGGCUCAACUUCGGAAGCGCAUUCGAAACUGCUAGGCUUGAGUACGGGAGAGGGAAGUGGAAUUCCUGGUGUAGAGGUGAAAUUCGUAGAUAUCAGGAGGAACACCGGUGGCGAAGGCGGCUUCCUGGACCGAUACUGACGCUGAGACGCGAAAGCGUGGGGAGC
This 247-nucleotide ribosomal RNA is filed under the name uncultured bacterium. RNAcentral describes it as "partial 16S ribosomal RNA". It matches the Rfam family "Bacterial small subunit ribosomal RNA", at positions 523 to 769 of the family's 1533-position model. The record is from RNAcentral.